RNAcentral lists this long non-coding RNA (406 nucleotides) under Nicotiana tabacum (common tobacco). RNAcentral's name for it is "long non-coding RNA (NTAB_LNC000791)". Lineage: Eukaryota; Viridiplantae; Streptophyta; Magnoliopsida; Solanales; Solanaceae. The record is from RNAcentral.
AACCAUGUCAUCUCCCAUGACCAUAGUAAGUGAAGCAUCAACAGUUGAUGACACAUCACUGCACCGGAAGUCGACCGACACGAGUGGUUCAUCGCAGACAUCGAGAAUGCCUUUGAGCUCCUUGUCAGCAGCCUCCCUAAAUGCAGCAUUCACUUCCUCAGCAAAUGUCUUCUUGGUGACUUGAACGACAAGGUCCACGACAGAGACGUUAGGGGUUGGCACACGGAGGGCAAUGCCGUUGAGCUUCCCCUUAAGGCUUGGGAGGACAAGGGCCACGGCCUUAGCAGCACCAGUUGAGGUUGGAACUAUGUUGAGGGCUGCAGCUCGUGCACGUCUAAGGUCCCUGUGGCUCGCAUCAAGAAGCCUUUGGUCACCAGUGUAAGAGUGAGUAGUUGUCAUGGUUCCC